GCUGGGAUGGCCGAGUCGUUAAGGCGAGUGAUUUGAAUUGUCCAUAUCACUUGGGCGCUGCCCGCGUAGGUUCAAAUCCUGCUUCCAGCG
Molecule: transfer RNA, 90 nt
Filed under: Dendrothele bispora CBS 962.96
Lineage: Eukaryota; Fungi; Basidiomycota; Agaricomycetes; Agaricales
Description: Dendrothele bispora (strain CBS 962.96) tRNA
Rfam family: tRNA
About the family: Transfer RNA (tRNA) molecules are approximately 80 nucleotides in length. Their secondary structure includes four short double-helical elements and three loops (D, anti-codon, and T loops). Further hydrogen bonds mediate the characteristic L-shaped molecular structure. tRNAs have two regions of fundamental functional importance: the anti-codon, which is responsible for specific mRNA codon recognition, and the 3' end, to which the tRNAs corresponding amino acid is attached (by aminoacyl-tRNA synthetases). tRNAs cope with the degeneracy of the genetic code in two manners: having more than one tRNA (with a specific anti-codon) for a particular amino acid; and 'wobble' base-pairing, i.e. permitting non-standard base-pairing at the 3rd anti-codon position.
Source: Rfam by way of RNAcentral